AUUGAACGCUGGCGGUAUGCUUAACACAUGCAAGUCGAACGGUAACAGGCCUUCGGGCGCUGACGAGUGGCGGACGGGUGAGUAACGCGUAGGAAUCUGCCUCAUAGUGGGGGACAACGUGGGGAAACUCACGCUAAUACCGCAUACGCCCUACGGGGAAAGCGGGGGAUCUUCGGACCUCGCGCUAUGAGAUGAGCCUGCGUUAGAUUAGCUAGUUGGUAGGGUAAAGGCCUACCAAGGCGACGAUCUAUAGCUGGUCUGAGAGGACGAUCAGCCACACUGGGACUGAGACACGGCCCAGACUCCUACGGGAGGCAGCAGUGGGGAAUAUUGGACAAUGGGCGCAAGCCUGAUCCAGCAAUGCCGCGUGGAUGAAGAAGGUCUUCGGAUUGUAAAGUACCUUUCGGUCGGGGACGGAUGAUGAGGUACCCGCAGAAGAAGCCCCGGCUAACUUCGUGCCAGCAGCCGCGGUAA
This 474-nucleotide ribosomal RNA is filed under the name uncultured bacterium. RNAcentral's name for it is "bacterial SSU rRNA". It matches the Rfam family "Bacterial small subunit ribosomal RNA", at positions 30 to 523 of the family's 1533-position model. The record is from RNAcentral.